GAUGAACGCUGGCGGCGUGCUUAAUACAUGCAAGUCGAACGGGUCCGCAAGGACCAGUGGCGGAAGGGUCAGUAAUACGAUCGAACGUGCCCCGAGGUGGGGGAUAGCGGCGGGAAACUGCCGGUAAUACCCCAUGAUCUCUCCGGAGCAAAGGUUUACCGCCUUGGGAUCGGCGAUCGUCCUAUCAGCUAGUUGGCGGGGUAACGGCCACCAAGGCGAUGACGGGUAGCAGGUGUGAGAGCACGACCUGCGACAUCGGGACUGAGACACUGCCCGGACUCCUACGGGAGGCUGCAGCGACGAAUCUUCCGCAAUGGGGGCAACCCCGACGGAGCGACGCCGCGUGCGGGAUGAAGCGCCUUCGGCGUGUAAACCGCUGUCAGGGGACAGAACCAAUGAUCGUCCCCAGAGGAAGAGACGGCUAACCCUGUGCCAGCAGCCGCGGUAAGACAGGGGUCUCGAGCGUUAAUCGGAAUCACUGGCUUAAAGGGUGCGUAGGCGGACCGACACGCG
This 513-nucleotide ribosomal RNA is filed under the name uncultured bacterium. RNAcentral describes it as "bacterial SSU rRNA". It matches the Rfam family "Bacterial small subunit ribosomal RNA", at positions 28 to 589 of the family's 1533-position model. The record is from RNAcentral.